AGAUAAGUAGUUGAUUAUUAGCCCUAUACAUAUCUUAAAACGCAACAGAGGUACUUAAAUCAAAGGACUGAAAAUCCUUGUGUCGGCGGUUCGAUUCCGUCCAUCACCACCA
This 112-nucleotide transfer RNA is filed under the name Spirosoma arboris. Its description in RNAcentral is "tRNA-Phe". It matches the Rfam family "tRNA", at positions 9 to 71 of the family's 71-position model. Rfam says of the family: Transfer RNA (tRNA) molecules are approximately 80 nucleotides in length. Their secondary structure includes four short double-helical elements and three loops (D, anti-codon, and T loops). Further hydrogen bonds mediate the characteristic L-shaped molecular structure. tRNAs have two regions of fundamental functional importance: the anti-codon, which is responsible for specific mRNA codon recognition, and the 3' end, to which the tRNAs corresponding amino acid is attached (by aminoacyl-tRNA synthetases). tRNAs cope with the degeneracy of the genetic code in two manners: having more than one tRNA (with a specific anti-codon) for a particular amino acid; and 'wobble' base-pairing, i.e. permitting non-standard base-pairing at the 3rd anti-codon position. Lineage: Bacteria; Pseudomonadati; Bacteroidota; Cytophagia; Cytophagales; Cytophagaceae. The record is from RNAcentral.